GUCUGCUUGUCCCUCUCCCUCUCCUCCUCCACUCCACUCUCUCUCUUUCCUCUCAAAUUAAAAAAAAAAAAAAAAGCCAAGGGAAAAAAGGAAGAACAAAGUUCAAGAAGGAGGAACAUACAGAGUCCUAGACCACACAGAAACGGCAGGAUUCUAUCAUGGGCAAGAGAGUACAGUGUUUGGCGUUUCCUUGAAAGAAGGACAUUCUGUGCAGGGAGAGGAAGUGAGGUAGAAGAAAAAGAUUAAGCUAUGGAGAUCGUUGGGAUUCAUCCCACUGGGUGGCAGCUAGAGCCACAGGAGGAUGCUUUCGCUCAGGGAGAGUGCGGAAAGCUGCAGAGCUGGGGAACACCCACAGGAGCUGAGGGGUGAACGCAGAGGGCACAGGAAGGAAGGCGUCUGAGAGAAGAACAAGUGCAGAAAGCAUCCAGGAGAAAGAACAAAUUAACCUUCAAAGGAACGAAAAUCAGAUUGUCAUCAGACAUCUCAUUGGCAACCCUGAUACAAGAAAAGGGUGGAGCAAAACCUGCCGAUGGCAAAGAAAAUGGCAAGACUACUUGUUAUCCCUAGCAUCUGUUCCCCCAGAGGAUGGCCAGCAAAUGGACAGUUGCUGCAGCAUCCUCCCUUGAAGCUAAGUGUGUCCAUGUGACCUAAGUUCCAGCUGUCCCUUUCCUUCUUUGCACCUUCUUUCAUCCAUCCUGCCUCCUGGAAAGCCAAUAUGAGGCCAUCGUCUUGGACCAUGAGGACAAGAACCACAUCUUACAUGUGUCAGAGUAGAAAACUGUGAGGAGCCUAGUCCCCAGAAGUCUUUUACAUGAGAAUAAAAUAAACUUCAACUUGUCUGA
Canis lupus familiaris (dog) is the source of this 842-nucleotide long non-coding RNA. RefSeq lists it as uncharacterized. NCBI's taxonomy places the organism in Eukaryota, Metazoa, Chordata, Mammalia, Carnivora, Canidae. The record is from RefSeq and is a predicted model, not a curated record. The transcript has 4 exons.